Molecule: long non-coding RNA, 249 nt
Filed under: Numida meleagris (helmeted guineafowl)
Lineage: Eukaryota; Metazoa; Chordata; Aves; Galliformes; Numididae
Description: lncRNA (ENSNMEG00000015856.1)
Source: RNAcentral
AUGAGUUUGUGCCCACGUAGACUCUUCAGGAUCAGGAGUUUUGGGGUGAGGUCUGGAAUCAUGGAUGGGAAUUCUAACUACCUGCUCCGUCUCCCUGGAUUACUAAACUUGUUACUUGCCUCAGAGUUUAUGUGGGUUGAACUUGUGUCCCCCUCAGAUGCCCUAUUGAGUCAAUCUGCACAUUUUGGUGGAAAUACAACAAGCAGUCAACAGGCAGCUGGAGCAGCGGAAAGGACAAUGCUAAAUUAA